Oncorhynchus tshawytscha (Chinook salmon) is the source of this 1535-nucleotide long non-coding RNA. NCBI's taxonomy places the organism in Eukaryota, Metazoa, Chordata, Actinopteri, Salmoniformes, Salmonidae. The record is from Ensembl.
UUACACGGGGAACCAUCUUUCCACAAUUGCUCAGUUUGGCCGAGUGGCCAGCUCUAGGAAGAGUCAUGGUGGUUACAAACUUCUUCCAUUUAAGAAUGAUGGAGGUCACAGUGUUCUUGUGGACCUUCAAUGCUGCAGAAAUGUUUCGGUACCCUUCCCCAGAUCUGUGCCUCAACACAAUCCUGUCUCGGAGGUCUACGAACAAUUCCUUCAACCUCAUAGCUUGGUUUUUGCUCUGCCACGCACUGUCAACCGUAGGACCUUAUAUAGACAGGUGUGUGCCCUGUGUGCCCUUUCAAAUCAAUCAGGUGAAUUUACCACCGGUGGACUCCAAUCAAGUUGUAGAAACAUCUCAAGGAUGAUCAAUGGAAACAGGAUGCACCUGAGCUCAAUUUCGAGUCUCAUAGCAAAGGGUCUGAAUACUUGAAUACUGUAAAUAAGGUAUUUAUUUAAUACAUUUGCAAAAAAUUCUAAAAACCUCGCUUUGUCAUUAUGGGGUAUUGUGUGUAGGUUGCUGGGGAUUUAACAUUUUUUUAAUCCAUUUUAGUAUAAGGCUGUAACGUAACAAUGUGGAAAAGGUCAAGGGGUCUGAAUACUUUCUGAAGGCACUCUAUAUAUCGGAAAGCCACCAAGAGACAACAAAAAUACUAUUAACACACUAUUCAAAUAUACAUAUUCUUAUAUACAGUACAGUUAAAUUGGAUUUUUAGAAAGAGGAGAAGCUCUGUGAUACAAGAUGUCUUUUAAUCUGUUUUUUAAAGCAUUCCACGAUGACAUGGCUCUACACAUAACUGAGCAACGCAUGAAAUCUGUUUUUGGUUUAGGUACCGUGAAGAAACCCAUAGUGAUAUGUCUGGUGGGAUAUGGAUGUCUAGAAGAGAAGUAGUCAAUUUCCUCUCAACCCUCAACCAUGAAAGACUCAUGUAUGUUGUUGAUGUUAGUUCUGUGUGCGCAGUUAAGGGCAAGGCGUCGUGCUUUGUUUUGAGCCAGCUGCAGUUUUGAAGGUCAUUCUUUACUGCACCUGACCAUAUUACCCGACAGUGUCACAUCUGCUCCUGCAACGCCUUCUACUGCUCAUCAUGUGGUGCCUUGACCUACCGCCUCCCCAAGUGCUCUUUCCCUCUCUCUCUCUGUGUAUGCGUGUGUGUGUGUGUGUAUGUGUGUGUGUGUGUGUGAUUGUGUGGGUGGAGACAAGUGUGCUGGAGUCAGAGCAGAUCCCCACCAGCUGCAACCUGUUCCAUAACCAAGACCUCUACUAAUACUCAGCUCUGCCACUUCCACGCUGCCAGAUCAUAAUCUCUGCUCAUUCUGCCCGCUCUGACUCUGGUCCCAGUCUCCAGUCCCACGUCGAGUCAUCCUGCUACUCUGUCCUGGAUUCCCCACUCUACUACUUCCUUGGAUUUCCCUCCGGACCUGCUUACCCUUUCCCAACCCCACUCGCUCCAGCCUCAGCCUCCGCACCUGGUUUCCAGCAACACGCCCGAGCUUCCCCUGACCUGCACUCAAUCUCUCCCUUGUUUCAAUAAAUACCUUGG